AGGGUGCGUAGGUGGCUGUAUAAGUCAGUAGUGAAAUCUCGGAGCUCAACUCCGAACGUGCUAUUGAAACUGUACAGCUUGAAUUCAGACGAGGCAGGCGGAAUGUGUAAUGUAGCGGUGAAAUGCAUAGAUAUUACACAGAACACCGGUAGCGAAGGCAGCUUGCCAGACUGCGAUUGACACUAAUGCACGAAAGCGUGGGUAGCGAACAGGAUUAGAUACCCUGGUAGUCCACGCAGUAAACGAUGAUUACUGGUUGUAGGCGAUACAUAGUCUGUGACUGAGCGAAAGUAUUAAGUAAUCCACCUGGGGAGUACGUUCGCAAGAAUGAAACUCAAAGGAAUUGACGGGGGCCCGCACAAGCGGAGGAACAUGUGGUUUAAUUCGAUGAUACGCGAGGAACCUUACCUGGACUUAAAUGUAGAUUGCAUAGACUAGAGAUAGUCUUUUUCUUCGGAACUAUUUACAAGGUGCUGCAUGGUUGUCGUCAGCUCGUGCCGUGAGGUGUCGGGUUAAGUCCCAUAACGAGCGCAACCCCUAUCGUUAGUUGCUAACAGGUUAAGCUGAGGACUCUAGCGAGACUGCCACCGUAAGGUGCGAGGAAGGUGGGGAUGACGUCAAAUCAGCACGGCCCUUACGUCCAGGGCUACACACGUGUUACAAUGGUAGGUACAAAGGGCAGCUACACAGCGAUGUGAUGCUAAUCUCAAAAACCUAUCACAGUUCGGAUAGGAGUCUGCAACUCGACUCCUUGAAGCUGGAUUCGCUAGUAAUCGUAUAUCAGCAAUGAUACGGUGAAUACGUUCCCGGGCCUUGUACACACCGCCCGUCAAGCCAUGGAAGUUAGGGGUACCUAAAGUACGUA
RNAcentral lists this ribosomal RNA (865 nucleotides) under uncultured bacterium. RNAcentral describes it as "bacterial SSU rRNA". It matches the Rfam family "Bacterial small subunit ribosomal RNA", at positions 564 to 1432 of the family's 1533-position model. The record is from RNAcentral.